GAACCCACUCCACCUGAUGCCCCCACAGCCCUCACAGGGCCUGACCUCCCAGCAUGCACCUGCCUCUCCCUGCAACCAAGCUGUCCACGUUGCCUGUUCCCUCACUUCCUCCAUCCUGUCCAGCAGGAUGGGAUGGGCAGGAGGACAGCCUGUGUGCACAUUUCAUGGCAGGUAGGAGUGACACACCAUCCCUGGGAGGCGACUUGGUUCCUCCCAAACCCGGCCCCAGAACUCUGUCCCUGGGGUGGUUUUACCAAACCCGAAACCCAGAAAUGUGGUUGUGGCUCAGGGGUCAGCACCCACUAGUGCCCGGACACUACUGGGAGGCUGGGACCUGACCAAAGCCCGUGGUGUCUGUGGCCUGAGGACAGGGUGUCUUGGGGCCAUAAGGACAGGCCACAAGUUGCCAUUGGGUCAUAGGGGCUCAGCCCCAGUGUUUGUCCUUCCCUGGCUCCUUCCCAUCAGUGCCUUGGAGCCCAAGACCAAGCAUCCAAGGUUCCCUCCAGGAAUCCUGGUGGCUCAGCUUACUUUGUCAUGUUUCAUCUGAGAGCAAAAAUGUCAGAUCGGAUGCACAGAAAAAUGGCUCAACAUGCUUAAUGACUAGAAGAAAUCUAGGAGCAGCAAGAAGGUAAUGUGGAGAGGGGAGGACCUCCAUGGGACCUCCAUGACCGGUGUCUGCAGAGCCAGGGGUACAGGCACCCAGUGCUGUGGUCUGGCACCACCUCUCAGAGGGUGGGUAGCACACUGUCCUUACCUCGGGGACAGCAGGUCUGGUCACCAGCUUUUGUACCUGUCUCUGCAAGCAUUGCAUUGCUGGAAGAGAAUCUCAUGCCAGAGCUUGGACCAUGCCUUGCUCAGGGGUUAGGGGUUGUCUCUUGGUGACCUAAUGAAAAAAUAGCUCCAGAUCAUAGUUCCCACAGAGCCCAAGGCUGGAAACCUCCAGAAUCCUCCGGCCCCCGAUCCUCCCCAGGGACCCCUGUGGCCUAUCUCACCAGAGCAUUCUUCCAUCUGUAGAUUUCUUGGCUGCUCCACAAGGGAGUCCCACUUCAGGUGUGGUGCUGGGCAUGAUCACUCCUGCUGGAUGUUUAGAAGGUGGAAACCAAGGACCUAGGGAAAUACCAGUUACAGCCUUUCCACCCUCAUCCAGAGCAGGACAAAGAGGCCAGGCGGUGUCAGGAGCCCAGGUCUCCAGCUGGAGGGAACAUCAACCCUGCAGUGGGAGCAGGGGCCCAUUGCACAUCCUAGGCAGAGAUGGUAACGUAGGCACCACAGGUAGGCAGGGAUUGGUACCCCUCCCUGGCGUCAGAAAGAAGCCAAACAAGGAGCUUUCUGCAGAAUGAAACCUCCUUUCCUUUCAGAAGCACUGCUGACAGUUUGGUGGUUGCCAUUGGGACAGUGAGCCUUUUGUUCUUUCUGAGGUUGGGCUGGUUUCUCCUCUUGGCCCUGCCCUACAGACCGUAAAGGAAAUCAGCAAGAAGUCCCCAGCAAACAUCCACAGAUGGCCCUGGACAUCAGCCACAUUCUGAGAAACAUGUCACGUUCUGGGAGGGCUAAGGCAUCAAGUAAGGCCUAUGGGGCUGGAGAAUCCGAGGGCAGGUGGGGCAACCCAGAGCCAUGGGGGCUACCCAUGGGAAUUGGGAGGUCCCAAGGCAGAUGCAGGGGUUCCACAGGAGAAGUCCCAGAGCCACCAAGUGCUCUCCUGUCCCAGGGAGCAGUCAACACCAUGGACUGAACACUUACUGGGCUUCAAGCUCUGGGCCAGGCUGGGGCAUGUGGGGCCAUGAGGGAGCUCAGAGUGGGAGACAGAGAGACAAGUGUGCUCAGAGGGCACCCAUUUCUGGGUGUAAUGUGGUCCUGAGAUUUUGGCUGAGAAGGGUUUCCAGGGUUUCAUAUGUGUUAUGGAGCUGCUUCCUCUCCCCAGCCUCACCUUGCAGGAAUCCCAGUGAAUAUAUUGCCACCCUAUUUGAGCUCAGUGCCCUCAUAGUGUAAUGGCACCAGCAGAUCUGCCUGUGCAUGGACUUCCUGUACUACCCAUUCCUGAGGGGUGAUGCUUCUGCAGGGCCUAUGACCUGGUGCACAACUUUAGACACCAUCAUCCUGGAGCAGCACUGCACCCUCACUAGCCAGGGUGUUCAUGACUUCCUCAAGGCCAAGGCCACGUUCAAGACUUGGGACUUCAGUGAUGCACUUGUGCUGGGCAAGGUGGCUUCUCCGGUAUCUUAAUUUGCCAUGGAAGGUGCUGGAUAAAGGAGGGACAGUCAGAUAUGUCUUAGAGAUGACUGUAGAAGGCUGCCUGGAAGGAGUGAACAAGAGCCAGGAGACCCAGGAGGGAGCUUGUGGGGCAGGUCUGGAGAUGGCAAGGGAGGGAUCCUGCUUGGAUGAAAAGUCUUCAGGGACUGUCUCAGGUUACACUCAGGUGCCCUCAGAGCUAAUGUGUUCAGAGGUCUUGUCUCCAGGAUGAAAAUGGGAAGGAGUUGUCAGAAGAGGACAUAUAAAUGGAGGCUGGCAUCUUCAUGAGUACCAGCGGUGGUCCCGGUGUGGGUCUCUCCAUCCAGGGACAUGGUGGAUGGACACUACAUCACUCCAUUCUGCCCUUCCUUUCCCUCCUCCCAUUCUCCCAAGGGCCUCAGUGCAUGGGCGGUGUCCAACCUCUGGUGCUGAAUCAGCCAAGAGAUCCAAGCCUGCUUGGCUGCCUCUUAGGAUAUGAAAGCACAGCCACUGGGCUCUACUGAAUCCUAUGCAACCUCAGAAGACACCCAGGAGUGAUGCCAUCACGUGGUGCAAGAGUUCUGAGGGACCGCAAUCCUGAAGACAUUGAAUGGCUGUGUUCCUGCUCAUUGCUGGAGGCACUGUCAGGGGCCCUGUCCUCAACCCCGGGUCUGACACUUGCAGAUCAGGCAGGACAUUCUGGAGGAAUCAUGCCCUUGGAAGGAUCCCUGAGGAGUGACUGUUGUUAGAUUAAAAAACAGUGGCAAAGAGCAAUACAGAGAGUUGCCAAAAUUCACACCGCUGGUCCAGGUUUGAAGCAAGCAAUCUGUACCUGCAGUCCUUGUCUGUAACCAUGGCACCCUGGCUUCUCACACAUCUCAUCGUGGAGUUCCACCAUGUGUCAGGCAUGGCACUGAGCACCUUCUUUUAAGAAUAUAAUUUGUAAUUAUGUAGAUUCUUAAUUCUACUUCAAAAUGCCACACAGCCUUCAUGUGAUAAAAUGAAACAAUUGCUCAACUGAUCUCCUGGGAUCUCUACUAAGAUGUUGGCAGCCCGGUCAGCUGGUCUGGCCCUGGACGUGCCUUCAGGGUCUGGUUAUGCUUCAUGACCUGCAUUGUGGUCAGUGGUAAGCAGCACCUGCUUCUAGCUUUACUGUUGGGUCAGAUUUUAUCCCCACUCCAGCUCUGCAGUGUGGCUGCUUCUUGAUUCAUCCAUGGACCCUGCACGAAAUUGCCCCAUGUUACUGUUUGUGCAUCACUGAGGAAGGAAGCAUGAAGGACGCACAGGUCAGGCCAUUCCAUUGCCCUCCUGGUGCUGGGUUUGCCCUCCCAAUCCUGGGGUUGCUUCAGGGGCUGGUCGUUCUCCAUAGCCCCCUCCACAUUUCUCAGGUUUCUGCUCAAAAGUCACCUUUCGGAGGGGUCUCCACCUGUCACUGUGUUUUUAAGAGCUCCUUCGGUUUCUUUCUAGCUCAUCUCACUCUGGUAAUGUCUUUGAUUACCACCACCAUCUGACCUGGUCUUAUGAUCUGUUAGCUUCCUUCAUCAGAUGUGAGCACCAGGAUGGCAGGGGCCUCAUCUGUCCUGUUCCUCCUGUGGCCUGGGUCCUAGCACCAUGUCUGGUACAGUGUAGAUGCUCAAGGGAAGUUUACUUUGUAGAACUGUUUAUCUGGGAGAUAUUACUGUUGGUCUAACCUGUACCAUAUUGUAAACCUCCAGCCAUUUUGCAGACUUUGAUCACAGUGAAACGUUCCAUGGGAACUUGGGCCAUGAGAAACAUCCUUCCUAACCACGUGACUGCAGAAACAUCCUUAUCACAUCCUCCUGGGCAAAGGCCCAACAGCCUGACUGCAGGGACAUCCUUGCCAUAUCCUGCUGGGCAGCAAGCUCUACCACCCAGAUCCCUCCCUCCCAGUCCCAUGAUUACCCCAGCCUGUGAGUGGCAGUUGGUUCUGGCACUAAGCUGGUUUCCUCCUCCCCAGGGUUUUGCUGGCAAUAAAGAUGUUG
Molecule: long non-coding RNA, 4211 nt
Filed under: Homo sapiens (human)
Lineage: Eukaryota; Metazoa; Chordata; Mammalia; Primates; Hominidae
Description: non-protein coding lnc-ANKRD30B-13:9
Source: RNAcentral